CUGCGUCUUAUUUUCUUUCUGAAUUGUACCAUUUGUCUAAUCACUCUUUUCACUGACUCAUUAUCAGAAAUGAUAUGAAGGUUGUUGAAUUAGGGUGUUGAUUUCAGAAGUAAUGUUAUAGAAAAUGGGAAUUGUUCCCUUUCUUAAAAGCAAUAGUUGACAAUUUUAUUUUAUUUUUUUCUGAUACAGUGUUGAAGUUCCUGGGAGAGGGCAACUUUAAUUUAUAAAGAGUCGUUAACAUUCACUUCCUCUAACAAAAGCCUUUGAAGUUUCCUGAGUUUCUGGGAAGGCCUGGUUUCCCCAAAGGAAUGAUUUCUGGUAGAAGUCUGAAGGUCUGACCCAAGAAAAAAACUCCAGUAUAGCCAAUGAAUUGAGGACAAGAAGGUUUCCAAUCAGUGUGAUCCCAGAAGUCUCACCAAGAGAUGGUGUUGAUUCUUCUCAGUGCAAGAGGGAUCAUGAUUGACUGAUGGCUCCAGUUACUGUUACCAGCACAGGACAGAGCCUGGUGUGGCCAAGAAAGCGGGCCAUUCCUGUGAAUACAAGACUGCCCCAACAGGCAUACUGUUGCUGCGUUUAACCUCACUGAAGCCAGACUAAUCUAGAGAUGUUCUUAGCUUCCUGUGACUCAUAUGAAGGUUAUCAUUUUAGAAGAGACCUUGAAAACAUACUCUGGAUUUAGGGGGGAAAAAAAACUCUGACAUUUCCAAGAGGAAAAGCUUUUUUUAAGUUUUAUAUUGUAGAUGCAGAGCUUAAAGCAUUUAAACACAUACAGCAAGCAAUAUAAUAUGAAUCAUGUAACAAAAGUUAAAUUUAAGUGAAAACCUUGUGUGGUAUGUUGCAGUCACAAAAGAAGAUACAAAAUUAAUGUGGACACCUGCUUGUUUUACUUGUAUCAGGAGAAAAUAAAAUUAAUUGUCAUUUAAUGAAUUGCUUUCUGUUGUAGCACACUUAAUUAUCUCUUCCUGUAACCCCAAGAAGUAUCUUUUCAAACUCACAGCUGUAUCUGAAUAGGGGCUACCAACUAAAGAGAAAACACUUCACUCUGCUUCUUUUGUGGAUUAACAUUUAAAACAAAAGAUGAACAAAGUAGGAAGUAGGCUCGUUUAUACGCGAUCCGUCCCAGUGUAUUGGAGAUGAAUGCUAACCCCUUUUCCAGCUAGCUGCAUGUGGAACAGUUCUGGCUUCAGUCCCCUGCCACCUGCCAGCUCUGGGAUCUCAGGGUGCUCCUGGGAGAAUCAUAGGAAUGCGGAUGAACCCCUGAAAGAGACCUGAUGGUGCAGAGAAGGCAUCCGACAGAGGAUCAUGAAGCAGAGAGCAAAGAAGUGGGGUUGAAAAGAGGGAGGUAUACGCGGAGAUUGUUUUUCAUCUCAAAAUGUGCCAUUGUAUUCUACAUUCUCCUUGAAACAUUUCAAGGGCUCCAUUUGCAUAUAUUAGAUGCUUACUUCUUUUCACAUCAUGUUCUCCAUUCCUACCGAAUUACGUGUCAAUCUAUGAACUGUUUCUCCUUUGUACUUCUGUCACUUUAGUACAUUAACAAUUGCAAGUAGAGGUUUUCCACAGUGUGUUUUCCUCUUGGUACAACUUCUUUUGAAUCUAUCCUGUGUAUACAGAAAGAUCUCAAGCGUGUGGGCCAGUCAGAAUGAAGCCAAGCCCGCACUGGUGGAAGUCUACAUUCUAGAAGGGCUCCAAAGACACAAGGACACACAGUUGCAGUGAUUACAGUACUCAAACCUACCUAGAUUAGUUGCAAAGAUACUUCUUUAGCACUAUUUUCACAUUAAUUCUAUUAUUGUUUAAAUAUAAUUGCGUUUCUCUAGUUGAUGUAAGUAAAUCCUUUGCUUAAAAUAUUUCAUUUUGUUUCAACUGUUAAUUUGUUUUCUGAAAUGAGUGUAAUAAAUACAAAUUUUUAUUUGUCCUAACAAUUAAAAUGCAUGGAUUAACCCCCAGCUUGUACAAAUGCAGAAUCAUUACUAUCCCUAACAAUGUAAAACUCUGACAAAUUAGAUAUCACUAUUUCUUAAGGAAAAUUGAUCAUAAGAUAAUUUUUGGACCUAAAAAUCUGCAUUUGUCUCAAGCACAUUUAACAUGCAUUCAUGGGAGAAGGAUCAUCUUUUUUCUGUUUCAUAUACAACUCUGUUAAGUGGAUAUCUUAUGUUUUCUUACAUUUCCUGCAUAUAAUUUAAAGGAAAAAAAAGCCACCCAAAAAGAGAAUAGAGGGAAUGAAUGUCUCAAUCCUUUUUUAAUUGUAUCACUGAUUCUUGGGGGGGUAUAGUGUGAUAGCUUCUGUAUUUUCUUUACUCCCUCCCUCCCCAAUUUUACUGAGUUGUGGUUGACUAUAACAUCGUAUAAGUUUAAAGAGUACAACAUAAUGAUUUGAUACAUGCAUAUAAUGUGAAAUGAUUACCACAAUAAAUUUAGUUAACAUCUGUCACCUCA
Long non-coding RNA from Orcinus orca (killer whale), 2436 nucleotides. RefSeq lists it as uncharacterized. The transcript has 7 exons. The record is from RefSeq and is a predicted model, not a curated record. Lineage: Eukaryota; Metazoa; Chordata; Mammalia; Artiodactyla; Delphinidae.